Long non-coding RNA from Branchiostoma floridae (Florida lancelet), 260 nucleotides. RefSeq lists it as uncharacterized. The transcript is spliced from 3 exons. Lineage: Eukaryota; Metazoa; Chordata; Leptocardii; Amphioxiformes; Branchiostomatidae. The record is from RefSeq and is a predicted model, not a curated record.
AGGGCUAGUGGACUUGUUUAUCCCUGACGUGUGCAGAGGGUGUGAGCUGUGACCAGUCCAUACCGCAGUGUUGCUGAGGAGCGGAAUAGUUUCUACAGAGAGUCUGAGUGAGUUGCAUGCUUCACAGGACGGACAAUAUCAAGUAAGCAAAAUACUGAGAAAGAUGACACUGUGUCUGGAGGACCUCAGCCCAGGGAUUCUUGUACGGACCAGACUCAAGUCAAGAACUCAAGGAGCCCAACAGAUUCAGCGGAUAGAGG